RNAcentral lists this non-coding RNA (94 nucleotides) under Palpitomonas bilix. The record is from RNAcentral.
UUUGAUUAACUACAGCGCUCCAUAAAGUGAUACUCUCUCCUUGAAGUACCUCUUUCCUUUCUGCUACAAAGAAAAAGAAGAACCGUUUCACACU